CAGCAGCCGCGGUAAUACGUAGGUGGCAAGCGUUAUCCGGAAUUAUUGGGAGUAAAGCGCGCGUAGGCGGUUUUUUAAGUCUGAUGUGAAAGCCCACGGCUCAACCGUGGAGGGUCAUUGGAAACUGGAAACAUGAGUGCAGAAGAGGAGAGUGGAAUUCCACGUGUAGCGGUGAAAUGCGUAGAGAUGUGGAGGAACACCAGUGGCGAAGGCGACUCUCUGGUCUGUGACUGACGCUGAGGAGCGAAAGCGUGGGGAGCGAACAGGAUUAGAUACCCCAGUAGUCCCUGUCUCUUAUACC
Molecule: ribosomal RNA, 301 nt
Filed under: uncultured bacterium
Lineage: Bacteria
Description: partial 16S ribosomal RNA
Rfam family: Bacterial small subunit ribosomal RNA
Source: RNAcentral